RNAcentral lists this transfer RNA (69 nucleotides) under Ictidomys tridecemlineatus (thirteen-lined ground squirrel). RNAcentral's name for it is "Spermophilus tridecemlineatus (thirteen-lined ground squirrel) tRNA". It matches the Rfam family "tRNA". Rfam says of the family: Transfer RNA (tRNA) molecules are approximately 80 nucleotides in length. Lineage: Eukaryota; Metazoa; Chordata; Mammalia; Rodentia; Sciuridae. The record is from Rfam by way of RNAcentral.
GGGACUGUGGCUCAGUGGUAGAGCACUUGCCUAGCAUGUGUGAGGAUCUGGGUUUGAUCCUCAGCACCA